Molecule: ribosomal RNA, 248 nt
Filed under: uncultured bacterium
Lineage: Bacteria
Description: partial 16S ribosomal RNA
Rfam family: Bacterial small subunit ribosomal RNA
Source: RNAcentral
GAUCCUGGCUCAGAUUGAACGCUGGCGGCAGGCCUAACACAUGCAAGUCGAACGGUAACAGGAAGAAGCUUGCUUCUUUGCUGACGAGUGGCGGACGGGUGAGUAAUGUCUGGGAAACUGCCUGAUGGAGGGGGAUAACUACUGGAAACGGUAGCUAAUACCGCAUAACGUCGCAAGACCAAAGAGGGGGGACCUUCGGGCCUCUUGCCAUCGGAUGUGCCCAGAUGGGAUUAGCUCGUAGGUGGGGG